RNAcentral lists this ribosomal RNA (857 nucleotides) under Eschatogonia sp. SK-2020i. Its description in RNAcentral is "SSU rRNA". It matches the Rfam family "Bacterial small subunit ribosomal RNA", at positions 370 to 1210 of the family's 1533-position model. Lineage: Eukaryota; Fungi; Ascomycota; Lecanoromycetes. The record is from RNAcentral.
AAUAGCCUAACGGCUGAACCAGCAAUUAGGAGGAAUGUAUAGCGAUAGCUAGUUGUAUUAUGUAUAAUACAAUAUUGAUUUAGUCGAAUAAAAUUCUGAGUAAAUUUAGAUAAUGACUUAGUUUACUCACGUGUCUUGACCAAAAUGCGUGCCAGCAGUCGCGGUAAAACGUAUAAGACUAGUGUUAUUCAUCUUUAGCAGGUAUAAAGCGUAAUUAGACGGCAAAUCAAGCUGUAGUAAGUACUAAUUUGCUAGAGUUACUUGUAAAGGGGCUUGAAAGUACUGAUGGAGUAGAGAUAAAAUGCUAACAUACCUUUUUUCAAUAGAAAUAUUACGGCACUGGUAAAGGCGAAAGCAUCCCCUUAUGUGAUAACUGACGUUAAAGGACGAAGGCUUAGGAAAUCGAAUAGGAUUAGAUACCCUAGUAGUCUAAGCAGAAAAUGAUGAGUGUCAUAGACUGGUAUAAAUAUAAUUUAUAUAUUCAUAAAUAAACUAAGUGAAAAUAUUAGAAAUUAUAGAUUUAGUCCAUAAAUGAAAGUGUAAGCACUCCACCUUAAGACUAAUGUGGCAACACCCAAAUUGAAAUCAUUAGACCGUUUCUGAGACCAGUAGUGAAGUAUGUUGUUUAAUUUGAUGAUCCACAAAAAACCUUACCACAACUUGAAUAUUGUACUAUUUUAACAGGUUAUUAGUUUAUUUACAAGCGCUGCACGGCUGUCUUAAGUUGAUUUCCUGAGAAUUUGGUUAGAUCCAUUUAAUCGACGUAAACCCUCGUUUUAUUUUUAUAUAAAAUGGUUCACCACUAUAUUGGUUAAGAUAAUAGGGAAGAAGACAAGUCAUCAUGGCCUGAAUGUUGU